This 884-nucleotide long non-coding RNA is filed under the name Lepisosteus oculatus (spotted gar). RNAcentral describes it as "lncRNA (ENSLOCG00000021061.1)". The record is from RNAcentral. Lineage: Eukaryota; Metazoa; Chordata; Actinopteri; Semionotiformes; Lepisosteidae.
CUGGACGCCCCACCUCGCCGGGCACCCCGAGGGGCUGCCGGCCGGCGGCCAGGCCACGACCAGUUCCUUCGCCGGCGCGGCACAGGGCAGGGCCCCUGCUGGAUACUACCCCCCUGCCCCGGAGCGGGACGCCGGCGGCCCCCCGUUCGCCGAGGAGCAGCACGAGUUCGGCCAGCCCUCCCUGCUGAGGGGCCACGCCGCCCCCGACUGCUACCAGAGCCCAGACUGUGGCCUGCAGAUCCCCCUCAGCUCGUCCCCGGGGCAGUACCCACAAUCCUGUGCGGCCUUCAGGGCCGAGGACGACCCCUUGACCUGCGACCCUGGGAUGUGGGGUCAGGUGAGCCUGACUGGGUCAGACUGGGAACAGGGCUCCCUUUCGCUGCCUCUCGAGGCGUCCUCUAUGUCUGCCUGGGGUCGAAGGAGAGGCCGAACGGAAGGCGUAGUGCAGGGGGCGUCGCCCGCAGGCGGAGCCGAGAGUCUCACUCUGACUCGGGCGCUGACCCAGUUUCUCUCUCCCUGCCCCCACGCCCCAUACCCCCCCCCGGCACGAGCAGCGAGGAGGCUCAGCGCUCAGACAGAGGGGCUCGGCUCUUUCAGGGGGAUCACCAGUGAGCAGGCCUGAGGCGCAGAGGCGUGACUGAGGGAGCUGAGGGCACAGGGGUUCAGGUCCGGUUAAGGUCCGGUCUGGUGGUUCGGGUCCGGUCCUGUUAGACCAGGAGGACAGCUGGUCCUGCGGUUCAGGUCCGGUCCUGUGAGACCGGGAGGCCAGCUGGUCCUGCGGUUCGGGUCCAGUCCUGUUAGACCAGGAGGACAGCUGGUCCAGCAGUUCGGGUCCGGUCCUGUGAGACCGGGAGGCCAGCUGGUCCAGCGGUUCAGGUCCGGUC